Molecule: ribosomal RNA, 1097 nt
Filed under: Vibrio parahaemolyticus
Lineage: Bacteria; Pseudomonadati; Pseudomonadota; Gammaproteobacteria; Vibrionales; Vibrionaceae
Description: bacterial SSU rRNA
Rfam family: Bacterial small subunit ribosomal RNA
Source: RNAcentral
AGUGUAGUUAAUAGCUGCAUUAUUUGACGUUAGCGACAGAAGAAGCACCGGCUAACUCCGUGCCAGCAGCCGCGGUAAUACGGAGGGUGCGAGCGUUAAUCGGAAUUACUGGGCGUAAAGCGCAUGCAGGUGGUUUGUUAAGUCAGAUGUGAAAGCCCGGGGCUCAACCUCGGAAUUGCAUUUGAAACUGGCAGACUAGAGUACUGUAGAGGGGGGUAGAAUUUCAGGUGUAGCGGUGAAAUGCGUAGAGAUCUGAAGGAAUACCGGUGGCGAAGGCGGCCCCCUGGACAGAUACUGACACUCAGAUGCGAAAGCGUGGGGAGCAAACAGGAUUAGAUACCCUGGUAGUCCACGCCGUAAACGAUGUCUACUUGGAGGUUGUGGCCUUGAGCCGUGGCUUUCGGAGCUAACGCGUUAAGUAGACCGCCUGGGGAGUACGGUCGCAAGAUUAAAACUCAAAUGAAUUGACGGGGGCCCGCACAAGCGGUGGAGCAUGUGGUUUAAUUCGAUGCAACGCGAAGAACCUUACCUACUCUUGACAUCCAGAGAACUUUCCAGAGAUGGAUUGGUGCCUUCGGGAACUCUGAGACAGGUGCUGCAUGGCUGUCGUCAGCUCGUGUUGUGAAAUGUUGGGUUAAGUCCCGCAACGAGCGCAACCCUUAUCCUUGUUUGCCAGCGAGUAAUGUCGGGAACUCCAGGGAGACUGCCGGUGAUAAACCGGAGGAAGGUGGGGACGACGUCAAGUCAUCAUGGCCCUUACGAGUAGGGCUACACACGUGCUACAAUGGCGCAUACAGAGGGCGGCCAACUUGCGAAAGUGAGCGAAUCCCAAAAAGUGCGUCGUAGUCCGGAUUGGAGUCUGCAACUCGACUCCAUGAAGUCGGAAUCGCUAGUAAUCGUGGAUCAGAAUGCCACGGUGAAUACGUUCCCGGGCCUUGUACACACCGCCCGUCACACCAUGGGAGUGGGCUGCAAAAGAAGUAGGUAGUUUAACCUUCGGGGGGACGCUUACCACUUUGUGGUUCAUGACUGGGGUGAAGUCGUAACAAGGUAGCGCUAGGGGAACCUGGCGCUGGAUCACCUCCUUAAACGAUGAU